RNAcentral lists this long non-coding RNA (379 nucleotides) under Ovis aries (sheep). RNAcentral's name for it is "lncRNA (ENSOARG00000025556.1)". Lineage: Eukaryota; Metazoa; Chordata; Mammalia; Artiodactyla; Bovidae. The record is from RNAcentral.
UGGUGAGGUCAUAAAAGGCUUGACUCCACCCUGGUGUCUGCAUCCCCAGGCCCGCCCACCCCCAGCCAGGGAGGGAGAAGAGAUUCAUCCUGUGCCCCCACACCAUACACCAGGACCCUCUCACCCCCGAGUACUUGUGGAAGGUGGCGACCAUCACAGCCAGCGCCUGCUCCAGGGGACUGGACAUCUUGGAUCUGAGGCAGACCAAUCAAGACAACAUCUUUCAUUUUUUUCCAUUUUUUUUUAUUAAUCAAAUGAUACAAAACAACCAUCAUCCUGUAAAUGCCCAAGCGCCCAGCUGGUUCUCUCACCCCCCAAAGUCACCAUCCUCAGCCUCUCCCUGAGCCUGCUCUCUCUCUCUUCCCCUGCCCUAAGCCAG